This 429-nucleotide ribosomal RNA is filed under the name Gemmatimonadota bacterium. RNAcentral's name for it is "Gemmatimonadetes bacterium partial 16S ribosomal RNA". It matches the Rfam family "Bacterial small subunit ribosomal RNA", at positions 355 to 776 of the family's 1533-position model. Lineage: Bacteria; Pseudomonadati; Gemmatimonadota. The record is from RNAcentral.
UAGGGAAUCUUCGGCAAUGGACGAAAGUCUGACCGAGCAACGCCGCGUGAGUGAAGAAGGUUUUCGGAUCGUAAAACUCUGUUGUUAGAGAAGAACAAGGACGUUAGUAACUGAACGUCCCCUGACGGUAUCUAACCAGAAAGCCACGGCUAACUACGUGCCAGCAGCCGCGGUAAUACGUAGGUGGCAAGCGUUGUCCGGAUUUAUUGGGCGUAAAGCGAGCGCAGGCGGUUUCUUAAGUCUGAUGUGAAAGCCCCCGGCUCAACCGGGGAGGGUCAUUGGAAACUGGGAGACUUGAGUGCAGAAGAGGAGAGUGGAAUUCCAUGUGUAGCGGUGAAUUGCGUAGAUAUAUGGAGGAACACCAGUGGCGAAGGCGGCUCUCUGGUCUGUAACUGACGCUGAGGCGCGAAAGCGUGGGGAGCAAACAGG